Molecule: ribosomal RNA, 253 nt
Filed under: uncultured bacterium
Lineage: Bacteria
Description: partial 16S ribosomal RNA
Rfam family: Bacterial small subunit ribosomal RNA
Source: RNAcentral
UACGGAGGGUGCAAGCGUUAUCCGGAUUCACUGGGUUUAAAGGGUGCGUAGGCGGCCUUAUAAGUCAGUGGUGAAAGCCCACAGCUCAACUGUGGAACUGCCAUUGAUACUGUAAGGCUUGAGUACAGACGAGGUAGGCGGAAUUGAUGGUGUAGCGGUGAAAUGCAUAGAUACCAUCAAGAACACCGAUUGCGUAGGCAGCUUACUAGGCUGUAACUGACGCUGAGGCACGAAAGCGUGGGGAGCGAACAGG